AGUGUGAUAGCUGGGUCAUAUUGGUGGGUCCAUUCCUAAUUUUUUGAGGAAACUCCAUACUUCUUUCCAAACUGAUUGUACUAAUUUGCAAUCCCCCCAACAAU
This 104-nucleotide microRNA precursor is filed under the name Marmota monax (woodchuck). Lineage: Eukaryota; Metazoa; Chordata; Mammalia; Rodentia; Sciuridae. The record is from RNAcentral.